RNAcentral lists this ribosomal RNA (774 nucleotides) under uncultured Neocallimastigales. Its description in RNAcentral is "partial large subunit ribosomal RNA". It matches the Rfam family "Eukaryotic large subunit ribosomal RNA", at positions 24 to 645 of the family's 3401-position model. Lineage: Eukaryota; Fungi; Neocallimastigomycota; Neocallimastigomycetes; Neocallimastigales. The record is from RNAcentral.
UAUGUGAUCGUCUCUCGCAUAUCAAUAAGCGGAGGAAAAGAAACUAACAAGGAUUCCCCUAGUAACGGCGAGUGAAGCGGGAAGAGCUCAAAUUUGAAAUCUUAAAGGGUUUCCCUUUACGAAUUGUAGUUUAAAGAAGUGUUUUCUGUUGAGGUUUUGGUAAAAGUUCUUUGGAAUAGGACAUCAUAGAGGGUGAGAAUCCCGUAUUUGACCUUUACUUUCAACUUUGUGAUACACUUUCAAAGAGUCGGAUUGUUUGGGAAUGCGGUCCAAAAUGGGUGGUAAAUUUCAUCUAAAGCUAAAUAUUGGCGAGAGACCGAUAGCGAACAAGUACCGUGAGGGAAAGAUGAAAAGAACUUUGAAAAGAGAGUUAAACAGUACGUGAAAUUGUCAAAAGGGAAGCGUUUGACACCAGUGUUGUUUUUCUGAAAAUCAAUUAAAGAACUGUUUAUGCUAAGCUGUUUAGACUUUAUCAGCUAUCUGUUUAGUUUUGAGCUUUUCCUUAAUGCACUUUUCAGUUAACAAGUCAACAUCAAUUUCUUUUGCUGUAAAAAAGCUUGAGGAAGGUGGCUUGAGAUUCGUCUUAAGUGUUUAUAGCCUCUUGCCUAUGCAGUCGGAGAGAUUGAGGUCUGCAGCGUAGAUCCUUCGGGGCUAAAUGCAUUUGUGCUAAGUUAUAACAUUUUAUAGACAACUUGUUGACUAUGAUUUGUCUUGUAGCUUACUCGCUUAUGUUAUUUUACCUACGCUUAGGAUGUUGAAGUCAUCGUAUCGCGC